RNAcentral lists this transfer RNA (76 nucleotides) under Candidatus Sumerlaeota bacterium. RNAcentral describes it as "tRNA-Val". It matches the Rfam family "tRNA". From Rfam's summary of the family: Transfer RNA (tRNA) molecules are approximately 80 nucleotides in length. Lineage: Bacteria; Candidatus Sumerlaeota. The record is from RNAcentral.
GGGUGGGUAGCUCAGUUGGAAGAGCGCUGCCCUUACAAGGCAGUGGUCGCAGGUUCGAGCCCUGUCCCACCCACCA